Molecule: long non-coding RNA, 1332 nt
Organism: Salvelinus sp. IW2-2015
Lineage: Eukaryota; Metazoa; Chordata; Actinopteri; Salmoniformes; Salmonidae
Source: RefSeq, a predicted model, not a curated record
GCAUUCACCUACCACCACGACACACUUCUAUAUUCACGUUGUCACACCGUAAUGGAUAGGUCAUAGGUGACUGGUGUGGAUGAUUUAAGACAUGGUAGACAAUAGAGACUGUUGAAGGCUAGCUAGUGUACAUAACGAGUCUCUAGGUUAAAUGGUCACAACCAAUGUGGUUCCAUAUUUUCCUCAAAGAAUUUCCCAGACAAGAUACAAUGUGUUUAAAACAGGGGGCACUUGGCUGUCAUUACAGAGCCAUAGCAUUGCUUAUACAUCAGGAAGGAAAAUACAACACUGAUAUCAAUAGUAAAUAUACACCGUUAAAUUAAACCCAGUUUGAUGUGCUAGUUUGAUCAUAGUAUUAAAGGGGAAUGGAAACACUAAAGGAAAUUAAUCUAAGCAAAGAUAUGUAUUCAAUCCACUAAUAGUAAACAUGUGCAUUUAACAUAAAAAACAUAUCUAUAUUUAUUAUUUUGAUCGUCGACAAAGUUUAUUUGAGCUAUAGUCAGCGCCAUUUUAAAUUGCCAUAGUAACGACUGACACCAGUGCGUCCCUGGCAGGAAUCAGCUCAUUGUCUGUGGUAUCGAAGAGAGUGAGGUUAGGGGCGGACAACAACAAAUAGUAAGUCAAACAUGAACUGUAUUGCGCCAGGCUGUAUGAAUUGUCUCCAAAAAUAUCCCUCGGUAAACUACCACAUAGGCUGCCCAAGGACACGCAACUUUUGAAGAAGUGUCUCCGUGUCCUGAAGAGGAAGGAUGUGCCAGCUCGAACUCACAGGAUCUGCAGACAGCAAUUCGCGGAGGCAGACUUCACGAUGAAGGGCACUUUCGAUAAGGAUGACAUCCCUGAAAAGGUUUUCAUCCUGGAGGAGACUGCAGGAGGCAGAGGAGGAAAGAAUGGUUAGUACAGCAUGCCAAACUGACCCCUGGGUGCCAGAUUGUUGCUGUGCUGCGGUGGAGAGGAGAACCACCGGGACCCUCACUAAAGAGGUCCACUGGGACCCUCGCUAAAGAGGUCCACCGGGACCCUCGCUAAAGAGGUCCACCGGGACCCUCGCUAAAGAGGUCCACCGGGACCCUCGCUAAAGAGGUCCACCGGGACCCUCGCUAAAGAGAACCACCGGGACCCUCACUAAAGAGGUCCACUGGGACCCUCACUAAAGAGAACCACCGGGACCCUCGCUAAAGAGAACCACCGGGACCCUCACUAAAGAGAACCACCGGGACCCUCGCUAAAGAGAACCACCGGGACCCUCGCUAAAGAGGUCCACCGGGACCCUCGCUAAAGAGAACCACCGGGACCCUCGCUAAAGAGAACCACCGGGACCCUCGCUAAAGA